ACGUCUACAGAGAAAUUGUAAUUUCUUAUCAAAUAUCAACAUAUUUUUUCAUCUUGAUUUUCUGCUAUUUCAGGUUCUUUUCAAUUGAUGCAUGGCAUGGGGAUGGAGAAAAAAAGGCCUCUCCCAAGCUAUGGUGUCCAGCCUUGUGAAGUCCAUCUCAAUAGCCAUUGCCAGGAGAUGGGAGCUAUACAUCACAAUUCCUUCAGCAAGAGAGGCAGUCCUGCAGAGUGCAGACCCAACAUGAAUUGUAUAAUUACUGCCAUUUCCCUGGCGUUAAUAUGGUCGGUGCUAUUGAUUGCACCCACAUAGGCAUCUCCAAGCCAGUUGGCCCAACACCAGUUAUUUCCUGAACAGGAAAAAAUAGAUACUCCAUUUUCUUGGAAAGUCUGCUGGAUGAUGUUUUUCUUCAGUAAAAUAAAUGAAGGCAAAUUCCCUGAUAACUGAGACAAAUUCAGAGAGAGGAAGGAGAACUACUGAGCUGCUGAAUUUCUGACAGACAUACUUGCAAGGACUAUGAAGUUCUACUUAGCCUCUUCAAUGAACCAGACUCCAUCUGCUGUAACUGUGACUGCAUGGGGAUCAAAACCUGUGUAUUAUAAUCCUCAUAACAUGAAGCUAUGGUAACAAACAAGCAACCAUUGAUAAAAAGCCUGAUAUGUCCUUGUUGUGUGUGUGAACCACAAAGCAACCAUCACUCAUAAGGAUGUUUUUAUGUACAUCAGAUGUUCAU
This is a long non-coding RNA of Strongylocentrotus purpuratus (purple sea urchin), 730 nucleotides long. RefSeq lists it as uncharacterized. Lineage: Eukaryota; Metazoa; Echinodermata; Echinoidea; Camarodonta; Strongylocentrotidae. The transcript is spliced from 3 exons. The record is from RefSeq and is a predicted model, not a curated record.